Molecule: long non-coding RNA, 804 nt
Organism: Oncorhynchus tshawytscha (Chinook salmon)
Lineage: Eukaryota; Metazoa; Chordata; Actinopteri; Salmoniformes; Salmonidae
Exons: 6
Source: RefSeq, a predicted model, not a curated record
CUUGUUCUAAAGUUAGCCAGUUUGAAACGUAAGGCAAGCGGUUUGAAACGGUCAAAUUCAACAAAUUACAAACAAAGAAACGCAAGACGAAGCCAGUUCGAGAUACUCUAAAAAGCAAUUCGAGCAGUCCAGUUCUACCAGGGGACUGCGAUCGGGGCAGCUCGGUCUCAUCUGAGCUGCAGGAUGAAUAUGAAGAACUUCUCCACCAUGCAGUGGUCAGUCCUGAGUAUGAGCCGCAGCCCAGUGCUCAACUGCAGCUUCUGAACGCAUCACCACUGUCUGCAGAUGAACAAGGUUCCCGUGGAAACGAUGACACUAGGCCCUAACACUCAGCAGGCCCACAGUGCCCGGCUGGCAGAGCAGCACUACAGUCUGCAGCUGAAGAGGAAGGUGUCGGCAGGCUGGCAUGCCCUCGUCCAGGGGAGGUGGAAACAGAAAUCCACGUGGCAGCUGUGGAUGCGGCCUAGGCUGAGAUCCAGAGCCUGCGGGCAGAGAGGGAGCGUUAUGAGGAGUCCAUGAAGAAGGCUUUUAUGAGGGGUGCAUGUCCUCAACAUGGAGGGCCUCGGCAUGUUCCACUGGAAAGAGACGCACGGCGCACAACAUACAUGAUGCUCCGCCCCUCCAGCACGAUCCUGGCUCAGGCUCAUUGGCCCGCCGCCUCUAUUCGGGUUCAGCCCACUCCACCUUGACCCCCCUGUACCAUCGUGACAAAGACGGUGACUCUCACACACCCUAGUUACAGUGCAUGCAAGUUUUCACUAUUAUGGAUCAGGUUCCGCCAUCAUUAAACAUAUUUUCACAUUU